RNAcentral lists this ribosomal RNA (253 nucleotides) under uncultured bacterium. RNAcentral's name for it is "partial 16S ribosomal RNA". It matches the Rfam family "Bacterial small subunit ribosomal RNA", at positions 524 to 776 of the family's 1533-position model. The record is from RNAcentral.
UACGGAGGGUGCAAGCGUUAUCCGGAUUCACUGGGUUUAAAGGGAGCGUAGGUGGGUCGGUAAGUCAGUGGUGAAAUCCCCGAGCUUAACUUGGGAACUGCCAUUGAUACUAUCGAUCUUGAAUAUUGUGGAGGUCAGCGGAAUAUGUCAUGUAGCGGUGAAAUGCUUAGAGAUGACAUAGAACACCAAUUGCGAAGGCAGCUGGCUACGCAUAUAUUGACACUGAGGCUCGAAAGCGUGGGGAUCAAACAGG